Long non-coding RNA from Gallus gallus (chicken), 2321 nucleotides. RefSeq lists it as uncharacterized. The record is from RefSeq and is a predicted model, not a curated record. The transcript has 4 exons. NCBI's taxonomy places the organism in Eukaryota, Metazoa, Chordata, Aves, Galliformes, Phasianidae.
CUACAACCCUUAGAGCAAUGGGAACUUCACUUUGCUGACAUCACAAUUCAGUGAUCCCAACGGAUCACUGUUAUGCAAUGCUGCAUCAAACACUCAGUAAACUUCCCAAGAAACUACACCAUAAUUUAGGGGAGCCAUUGAGGUUGUUUGUGAGAAGAGCAAAAUUAUUGUUCUCUUUGUCUGCUGCAGAAAACAAAUAGGAAAGAGCCUGAAAAAAACAUCUACAUAUUCAAAGGUUUUUAUUGAGUUGGGGGCACCUCAUGUAAAGCAAUUCCCAUCCCUGAGGUUCUGCAAGACACACUGCAACUGAAGAAAAAUGAUGCUGAUGUUAGUAGGUCUUGGAAGGGUGGAAAACUGACGGGUCUGACUGAGUGGCAGAACAAGCUCAUGAACUCUGCGUUUAUGAAUGUGUAACUCAUUCUGCAAUGGAUUCCUUAAACUGUAGUGUGGGAAUCUUUCUAAGAUAACACAGAAUUAAUUCAGAACUUUCCCUCUCCUUUUUGAGGGUGAGGCAUCUUCUGGACUACUUUGUAGUUUACUGCUUCCAUCUUAUAAUUCAGUACUGGCCACCAGUCAAGAUUACUGCUCAAUUUCUCACUAUAAAUGGAUUUCAGCCACUGAGCCAUGUGCUUUUCUCCAGCUCAAUCAAAUGUGGGCACGUGGUACGUGGGGAAUUGCCAUCAACUGAUAUCAAAGUACUUUGGCUACCAAACCACCCAAGCACUAUAGUACCUUACUUAGUCCAUAGAAUUCAGACUUAAGAGGAUUUGUUAGUAUCCUUUAAAGUUUUGAGUGUGUAUAUGUUUUUAACCAUGACAGGAAAUUCAGUGGAAAAGAGAAAAUCAGCAGAAACAUUAUUUAGAGAAGGGAAGAAAUGCUUCCUUUGAAAUUUAGAAGCAGGGUGGCUAUUCCUGCUCUUCUCCCUUAUUGAAACCACUUUAAUUCCAAAUUCCCAAUCUCCUGUCACCUGUCAGGAAACACACACAUUUCUCAGCAGAUGACAGAAGAAUGAUUUAUGUUUUCUUCUUUCAGUAUAAUUUGCAUUUUGAGUGAAUCAAUCAGAUAGUUUCUAUUAUACAAGGAACAUAAAAUAAUAAAAAUGCUCAGUUUCUCAAUUUUGAACAGAAUUAGGAGGGGGCAUUUGAAAGACUGAGUCAAAAGGAUUCUGAGCAGAAUUUCUUCAUACAAAUAUUCCCUUUGAACUGUAUAUUUUCAGUGGCGAGGGAAUAUUUUCCUUCUUCAGGUAUAAGACAGUGUAGGAGUAGGCAAAGGAAAGAGAGCUUUCAAAUGAGAAUAAUUUCAGUGAGUCACCACUUUUGUAAGAGGUACAGUAAAUCCUACUCUUUUUCAGAGACUUUAGAAAAGCAUUUGGGCAUUUUAGCUCCAUUUAUCUGCUUGUCGGAUCCAAGAAGAGAUGAGAAGUGGAGGGGAAAAAAAACUGAUGGACUUUCAGAGCAUUUUCACACCACCCAGUCUUGUACAGCUCACAAUACUUAGGGCACUCUUUACUAUGUACUUUUACUAUUUAUUUCUCUAGUGCCAGAUAGUAAAGCUCAGUCAUCUUCCUAGCUGACUACCUAGCAAGGUGGAAAAGAGUAAAAGUCCAUACAGGCAGUGACAGAUCCAAGCUGAAUAGGUGGAGAAAGUGUGAUGUUUUCAACAGUUUAAUUUAAGCUUCUAGCACAUCUGAAAGCUCAGGUGAAAUGUUAGGAUCAUUUUCCGAAACCCCUUUUGUCCUACACCCUCGGCCCAAUCAGCCAUGCUGAGCAGAUCAUAAAUCCCCUGUCAGUCUGCGCCAGCCCCUGAGCACUGAGCUCUGAGCAAUGGAUUUGCAUAUCCACCUAUAAAUCCUGUAAAAGACAGGAAAAUAGUUGGUUAUCCACACUUUCCAAGGCCUGUUAAUUACUUGAUUUCUCUCCUGGUUUGCCCUCCCAGGCUGAGAACAGCAUCAUCCUCAUAUAACUUAGAGCUGGCACUUAUUAAGUGUUUAACUGACCAAAUCAGGUUCAGGAAAGACAAAUAGGCAAUCAAAAAAUAAACAAUGCAACUUCAAGUGACCAAAUCAAAUUAAAUUUUAUCUUGAUCUGUCUACAGUACCCACAGACUAAGUCCAAGUUCUUCCUCUACCUUGGAAUCUCUUAUGCUUGUUACAAAUAUACAUAUAUAUAGGCUGUAAUUCAUGUUUGCACAGCUGACAUUUUUCCCUGAGACUUUUUGAAGUUCUAUUUAGCCCAAAGACACUGACACCUUUUGUAUCUUAGACACAGAUGUUAGAUAUCCUAACUUCUCCCAAAGGAAGAGGGGACUUGCUAAAAAAUAGA